Ochotona curzoniae (black-lipped pika) is the source of this 361-nucleotide long non-coding RNA. RefSeq lists it as uncharacterized. The record is from RefSeq and is a predicted model, not a curated record. The transcript is spliced from 3 exons. NCBI's taxonomy places the organism in Eukaryota, Metazoa, Chordata, Mammalia, Lagomorpha, Ochotonidae.
AGCUCUCUGGCAGCCACAUCUGGAGAGCCCAGUGGCGUUUCGGCCCUGGUAAACAGCUUGCAGGAAAAAUGCGCCUCACAUUCCCGGGCGGAGACCCCCAGCCCCCUGUGGGCCGCAGCUGCCGUGGGAACUGGACAACUUGUGUGCGGAGCCGGUGCGCUGGGACUCAGGCUGCUCCUCCUCCUUCUCUUGCAGACAUCCGGGGAGUCCUAGGGCUGAAGGUUCCGAGCAGUGGCUGCAAAGAAACAGAACUGGGAAUUCAGCCCCCUGAGUCCUUGCAUUCUGCAUCCCUACGGUGUUCAUCGGAAUGAAGACCUCAAUGCACAAAAAGUCAGAUGUACAGAGAGGAGGAGAGACAGAG